Molecule: non-coding RNA, 2981 nt
Organism: Meleagris gallopavo (turkey)
Lineage: Eukaryota; Metazoa; Chordata; Aves; Galliformes; Phasianidae
Source: RefSeq, a predicted model, not a curated record
GCUGGAUGUCUCUUUGCUCCUUAAGCCUUCUGAAGGCAUUUUGUGAUACAGCGUUAUACCUGGGUGAAAGAAAGAAAAAAGAAAACAACAAUCUGCUCACAGGAGAUGGCAGGAGCUCCCAGCAAGGAGGAAGAGAUGUAAGCACGCAGUGUCAGCCUCAUGCUUCUCUUCCAAGGUCCAAUGAGGACUGAAGCACAGGCAGUGCUGAUGCAGUGGGGAACUCAGCUCCCACGCACCGGAAGGUUUGGAAGCAUCAAGCUCUAUUUUAAGUGUGCUGUUUUGUUAGCAUACCAUAAACCACAGAAAGUGUUAUGAGCCUGAGGGGGGGGGGAGAGAGCUUUGUGCCCCUGGCAAGGUUGAAAAGCCAGCUAGCUUUCCUUUCCUUCAGGGAGCUGUGUUGGAGUAUAUUCCUUUUUUUCUAAUGCUUUUGGAGUUUUGUUUCUUCCACCACUAAAUGCAUCACAGCAAAAGCCAAUUCAGUAGUAAGAAUAAGCACUUUGUAGUGUAUAUACCUUUCAGUGCUCUUCACAAUGACCUAGAAGAUGAAUUGAACGAUGAGGUGAUGAAACUAAGCAAGAAGCCGUAGACUGGACGAAUAUCUGGAAGGAUUUAAUAAAGCUGGAUGAUAAACAUAUGAAAAUCAUGAAAAUGCAUUGGGGGGGAAAAUUGUUGCUCACAUGCAAUGAUGAAUUCUGAAUUAGCUGCAACUUCUCAAAUGAAAAGACUUGCUGUUAUGGGUAGUGCAAGGUCUAAUAUGUGAUGCAGAAGAAAGCAGCAAGAACCUGGAGCAUAUUAAUAAUGGGUGGGGGACUGAACUUCUGCACAGUGCAUCUUCCUGAAGCUACUAAAAUGCAACAAAUGUUGCAUUUAAUUUAAAUAAGAGAAACUGCUCCUGACUAAACUUCCUAAGAUUAGUACCAUUUUCACAAUCUAAAUGGGUAAUGAGUUGUGCUGGUCAGAGAGAGAGAGUUUUCUCUAAAGAGAAAACCUUUUUAGUAACUUAGAGAAAAGUAUAGCCACUGGGAAAAUUGUUUAGUAGAGAUCUUGUCUUCAUUGCCAUCUUUGUUGCCAAAAUCUGUUAUAAUUUGGUUCCUUUGCAUUAGAAAAAGUGUGUGAAACUAUCCUUUACUUUGACUGGAGAAUAAUCAACACCAAAGUUUCUGUUUAUAUACAUGUAUGUAAAGAGAGCAGGAAGGCUGGCCUUGAUAAGAGAUUAAAAUGAAAGGAUUAAAAUGCUAUUAUACGGAAAUAAAUAUGAAUUCAUGGGUUUCAAAUGCCUGAAUUAUAAUAAUGGCUGGAAUGUUUAGCACUGUUUUCCUAGGCAACAGAGGAUGUUUACGGUAUCAACAUUUGAAUCUUAAAUUCAUUAUGAUGUUAUGCCAUUGCGUUUUAGAACAGCUGAUGAUAUUUAUCUUUGAGAUGAAAGCUUUGCCCUGCAGAGGCUCACCAUCAGAUAUUUACUACUUGCAGAACAUUAGACUUGGUGCAGGUUUGGCUGCUUUUUUGGGUGUCACUCUUGUGAUCAAAUUGGGACAAAUGUGACUGUGCCCCCAGAGGUAAUACCUGCAGUGCUGGCUAGGAGCAGUAACCAGAAGCUGGAAGGGGGGAGCGUGUGCCUCUUGGGCAUCAAAAUACUGCACUAUAACUUUGACUCUUCAUAAAUAUGAAUGUGGAAUUCACCUCUGUGCAAAGGAUUAGCCAAGACUCCUCACAGGAGCAAAAUUCACCCUGAAGCAUUGUGUCAUUAAGCUGAAGAACUAAAAAUAUAUCACAGAACCAUAAUGAAUUUAGGCUUUCCCUGUAGGUAAGAAUAUACUACUGCCCUGUUGCAGAUAGGUUAAUUAUUAUUUAGUGGGGUAAUUGUUCUCUGAAAGGUCAUAUUUCAUCGCACAAAGAAACCUUGAAAAUGAAACUAAGGUUCCUUACUCUCAAUAUUUGUUUCUACAUAAUAUGUAUUUGUUGAUCUGGUUUUGGCUCUGGAGUAAAAGUUUUUUCUUUGGUGUACAAGGGUGAAUAUUGCUGGGCGUGUGCUGCAUGGACACAGGUUUAGAGUAUUUUCAAUAGCAACAACUGCACAGGCACUCUGUUUGUUUCACUUUCAGGAUGCUUGGCUUGUCUUUAACAACCAUCUAUUUGUUUAAAAAAAACACACACAAAAAAAACAACAAAAAACCCACUUCUUUCUGAAGCAAAAAACAUCAUUUUCAAAUAGAGGGUCUAAAUGUCACGUUUUGAAAGCAGCACAUUCUGAAUUCUUUCUCCCUACUUCUGGCAGAAAUGUUUCAGUCACUCUUGCCAAAACUGUGUGUUACAGCAAAUUUAUUAGAUGUUAAAAACUGAUAUUAGCCCAAUUUUACCUUGCACUGAAACAACAGAGGUUCCCCAGCUUUCUCUUUCUGGUUAUUCGUUUGGAAUCCUGAGCUCCCUACUACUGCCCACACAGCUCUACUCGAGAAAUGAAGUCCUGGUGAAACAAGUUACGUCUUGUCUAAUCACUGAGAGAAUUAUGCAUAUGAAGACCUUAGUAAAUGUCUGUAUGUGUUAUACAGUAGAUCUGCUGGUCUUUUGGCAAGUUAAAAACAUGUUCUUCCAGGACCAAUGAGAACUGGUCCAAAGAUGCUGGAUUUCAGUAUCCAGGUGGCCCAUGGCCUCUGGCUUGGGCUCUCUGCACCUCUUGAUCAUGAGCUGUCUAGAGAUGUCUGUGAAAUAAAGUUUGUUAAAAUAGUCUAGUGCACAUUUGGUCUUUUCCAGAUGUUCACCAGAGCACAGGGAAGAGCUGACAUUACAUAGCCAAAUAGAGGCAAAUGGUUGGUACUUUUGUACAGUGGUUGAAGCUGCUAGAUUCAUGGUAUCAGCCAUAGUGAGCUUCCUUUUUAGCAGAUAUCAGUGCUUCUAAACAGAUCCAGAUGACCACUGAAGGUUUACCCUUUGAAGGAAUGGAGUACUCCAGCUUCAACAGCUGCGAGGCAUUAUGUUUUCAA